AUGUUCUUUAAAUUUAAAAAAUUUGGCGGUAUUUUAGUCUGUUCAGAGGAACCUGUUUUGUAAUCGAUAAUCCACGAUGAACCUUACUUAAAUUUAUUAAUUAGUUUGUAUACCGUCGUUAUAGAAAAUUUUAUAAGAAUAAUAAUUUUCAAUAAAUUAAAUAUAAUUAUAUAUCAGAUCAAGGUGCAGCAUAUGUUUAAGUUAAUAAUGGGUUACAAUAAAAAAAUUUAUAUGGAUAUAAAUAUGAAAAAUUUAUUGAAAGUGGAUUUGAAAGUAAAAUUAUAAAGAUUAAUAAUUUGAUUUUAGCUCUAAAAUAUGUACAUAUCGCCCGUCACUCUUAUUAUUAAGAUAAGAUAAGUCGUAACAUAGUAGAUGUACUGGAAAGUGUAUCUAGA
This 395-nucleotide ribosomal RNA is filed under the name Megaselia scalaris. RNAcentral describes it as "partial 12S ribosomal RNA". Lineage: Eukaryota; Metazoa; Arthropoda; Insecta; Diptera; Phoridae. The record is from RNAcentral.